GCAUGUUUGAAAAGCCAAAAGCAAUUAGCCAUUAUGCAAGAUACUUGAUCUCAGUUUCCUGCACUGCAAAAUGGGAAUGGUUGCACCCUCCGUAUGGGAUUGUGAUGAGCACUGUGUGUGGCUUCAGGAAUGCACUGAUGAGCAGUUACUUCUUGUCCUUGAGAAACUUCUGAUCCAGAGGGAGAAACAUAAAACUUCUAGUAGCGACCUGCAUCCCUUGGCUCAGAGUCCCUUUCUCCAUCUUCACAGCCAGCAGCACAGCAUCUUCACUUCUCUCUGACUCUCCCCCUUCAAUCUCCUGCCUCCAGCUUAUAAGGACCCCGAGGAUUACAAGUAGAGCAAAGUUCAAGAUCUACAGUAUAGGUUGACCAGCCGAAUGACUGCAACAGCUGCUUUGGAAGGGCUUCCUUGAGCUUUGUGUGAAGAAUUUUGAGGCUGUGUGUGGGUUCAGUAAUGUGGAAGGUUCCAAGAGCCAGAUGCUACACCAUGCAAUGUUAAAAAAAAAAAAAAGAAGAAGAAGCCUUUAUUGCACUUUAUUGAAGUGCAAUAAACACGAGUUUCACAGAUCAGCACUCCACAGGUGGAGGGAUUUCACAAACUGAACUCUUUGGGCACAAUCUCCAGGUCAAUCAACAGCCGCCAGGCCUCUGGGAACAGCCUCAAAUCCCAUUCUGCCAAUGAGACUUCAGAUGUGGAGGAUCUGGAGAUGGGGAGAUUAUCCUGAAUGCUGCUGGUGGACACAGUGUAGCCAUGAGGACCCUUACGAUGAAGAAGGAAGGCAGAAACAUGGGGAGGUUUCAAAGAUGAGAAAAGAGCUGCAAGCUGAAGAAUGUACGUGGCCUCCCAAAGCUGGAAAAGACUUUCCAGAAUGAAAAAGGAUGAAGAGGAAGAGGGUGAAGAGCUUGACCCAGAGAAUCUCACCAGCAUACUUCAUAGACCUCGAGAAAACAAUCCAAAAAUUCAUUUGGAGCAAGAAGAGACCCAGAAUAGCAAAAGCAAUUCUAAGUAACAGAGACAUGGCAGGGGGUAUCACAAUCCCCAACCUGCAACUCUACUACAAAGCUACUGUGAUAAAAACAG
This 1080-nucleotide long non-coding RNA is filed under the name Heterocephalus glaber (naked mole-rat). RNAcentral's name for it is "lncRNA (ENSHGLG00000036367.1)". Lineage: Eukaryota; Metazoa; Chordata; Mammalia; Rodentia; Bathyergidae. The record is from RNAcentral.